UUAUCUCCUUCCCUCUCAAACCUUUUCUCUGCACAUUCAAGACCACACACACAUAGACAACAUAUAACAUCAUCAGCCUCCCUUUCUCUCUCUCCCGUUGAUUCACGGCUGCCAAAGACACCGGAAAAGUCACGGUGUCGACCGAUGGUCAUGAUGGUACCAUGUCGAAACUCACGUUCUUGCUACGUGCUCGAUACCUUUACACCUUUGCCGGAGAAAAACUAGACGUCGCCGGAGGACACGAUGCCGCUGGAGACACCCGAAGACGCGACAAGAAUCAUCCAUCGUGUCGGUUGUCGAGAUAAUUAAAGCUGCAUGGAAUCAAACAGGAAUGACUUAGAACUCAUCUAAAAUUAGAAUACUUGAUGUAUCUUAUUUAUUUCGAACUUGUU
Helianthus annuus (common sunflower) is the source of this 392-nucleotide long non-coding RNA. RefSeq lists it as uncharacterized. NCBI's taxonomy places the organism in Eukaryota, Viridiplantae, Streptophyta, Magnoliopsida, Asterales, Asteraceae. The transcript is spliced from 3 exons. The record is from RefSeq and is a predicted model, not a curated record.